Molecule: unclassified non-coding RNA, 242 nt
Filed under: Hevea brasiliensis (rubber tree)
Lineage: Eukaryota; Viridiplantae; Streptophyta; Magnoliopsida; Malpighiales; Euphorbiaceae
Source: RNAcentral
GAAAAAAUUAUAUAAUGAAAUCGUUACAUGUAUAUGGUUGCAUUAUAAUUAUUGAUUAUGGUAGGUUUUAUUAUGAUCAAUUAUUAUAAUUAAACAGUUGUGUACAAUUAUUAUAUCAAAUAAAAACUUUAUAAAGAGAGUUAUAAAUAAAAAUAAUAAUUCUAAAAAAAUGAGAAGCAUUUUUUUUUUUUAAAUUGAAAUGGUGCCUUUUGUGGUGUUGUCUUUUUCUUUUUUCUUUUUUU